This 606-nucleotide ribosomal RNA is filed under the name Staphylococcus pseudintermedius. RNAcentral's name for it is "partial 23S ribosomal RNA". It matches the Rfam family "Bacterial large subunit ribosomal RNA", at positions 586 to 1191 of the family's 2925-position model. The record is from RNAcentral. Lineage: Bacteria; Bacillati; Bacillota; Bacilli; Caryophanales; Staphylococcaceae.
UUAAUGGGUGAUGGCGUGCCUUUUGUAGAAUGAACCGGCGAGUUACGAUCUGAUGCAAGGUUAAGCAGAAAAUGUGGAGCCGUAGCGAAAGCGAGUCUGAAUAGGGCGAAUGAGUAUUUGGUCGUAGACCCGAAACCAGGUGAUCUACCCUUGGUCAGGUUGAAGUUCAGGUAACACUGAAUGGAGGACCGAACCGACUUACGUUGAAAAGUGAGCGGAUGAACUGAGGGUAGCGGAGAAAUUCCAAUCGAACUUGGAGAUAGCUGGUUCUCUCCGAAAUAGCUUUAGGGCUAGCCUCAAGUGAUGAUUAUUGGAGGUAGAGCACUGUUUGGACGAGGGGCCCCUCUCGGGUUACCGAAUUCAGACAAACUCCGAAUGCCAAAUAAUUUAACUUGGGAGUCAGAAUGUGGGUGAUAAGGUCCAUAUUCGAAAGGGAAACAGCCCAGACCACCAGCUAAGGUCCCAAAAUAUAUGUUAAGUGGAAAAGGAUGUGGCGUUGCCCAGACAACUAGGAUGUUGGCUUAGAAGCAGCCAUCAUUUAAAGAGUGCGUAAUAGCUCACUAGUCGAGUGACACUGCGCCGAAAAUGUACCGGGGCUAAACAUAU